AGAGUUUGAUCCUGGCUCAGGACGAACGCUGGCGGCGUGCUUAACACAUGCAAGUCGAACGGAAAGGCCCUUCGGGGUACUCGAGUGGCGAACGGGUGAGUAACACGUGGGUGAUCUGCCCUGCACUUUGGGAUAAGCCUGGGAAACUGGGUCUAAUACCGAAUAGGACCACGUGCUUCAUGGUGUGUGGUGGAAAGCUUUUGCGGUGUGGGAUGGGCCCGCGGCCUAUCAGCUUGUUGGUGGGGUAAUGGCCUACCAAGGCGACGACGGGUAGCCGGCCUGAGAGGGUGACCGGCCACACUGGGACUGAGAUACGGCCCAGACUCCUACGGGAGGCAGCAGUGGGGAAUAUUGCACAAUGGGCGCAAGCCUGAUGCAGCGACGCCGCGUGAGGGAUGACGGCCUUCGGGUUGUAAACCUCUUUCAAUAGGGACGAAGCGCAAGUGACGGUACCUAUAGAAGAAGCACCGGCCAACUACGUGCCAGCAGCCGCGGUAAUACGUAGGGUGCGAGCGUUGUCCGGAAUUACUGGGCGUAAAGAGCUCGUAGGUGGUUUGUCGCGUUGUUCGUGAAAACUCACAGCUUAACUGUGGGCGUGCGGGCGAUACGGGCAGACUAGAGUACUGCAGGGGAGACUGGAAUUCCUGGUGUAGCGGUGGAAUGCGCAGAUAUCAGGAGGAACACCGGUGGCGAAGGCGGGUCUCUGGGCAGUAACUGACGCUGAGGAGCGAAAGCGUGGGGAGCGAACAGGAUUAGAUACCCUGGUAGUCCAA
RNAcentral lists this ribosomal RNA (773 nucleotides) under uncultured bacterium. Its description in RNAcentral is "bacterial SSU rRNA". It matches the Rfam family "Bacterial small subunit ribosomal RNA", at positions 8 to 798 of the family's 1533-position model. The record is from RNAcentral.